AUUGAACGCUGGCGGAAUGCUUUACACAUGCAAGUCGAACGGCAGCACGGGAGCUUGCUCCUGGUGGCGAGUGGCGAACGGGUGAGUAACAUAUCGGAACGUAUCCAAUAAUGGGGGAUAACUAAUCGAAAGGUUGGCUAAUACCGCAUACGCCCUGAGGGGGAAAGCUGGGGAUCUUCGGACCUCGCGCGAUUGGAGCGGCCGAUAUCAGAUUAGGUAGUUGGUGAGGUAAAGGCUCACCAAGCCGACGAUCUGUAGCUGGUCUGAGAGGACGACCAGCCACACUGGGACUGAGACACGGACCAGACUCCUACGGGAGGCAGCAGUGAGGAAUAUUGGACAAUGGGCGCAAGCCUGAUCCAGCCAUGCCGCGUGCAGGAAGACGGUCCUAUGGAUUGUAAACUGCUUUUAUACAGGAAGAAACACUCGGACGUGUCCGAACUUGACGGUACUGUAUGAAUAAGCAUCGGCUAACUCCGUG
This 481-nucleotide ribosomal RNA is filed under the name uncultured bacterium. Its description in RNAcentral is "bacterial SSU rRNA". It matches the Rfam family "Bacterial small subunit ribosomal RNA", at positions 30 to 507 of the family's 1533-position model. The record is from RNAcentral.